AUUGAACGCUGGCGGCAUGCCUUACACAUGCAAGUCGAACGGCAGCACGGGUGCUUGCACCUGGUGGCGAGUGGCGAACGGGUGAGUAAUACAUCGGAACAUGUCCUUUAGUGGGGGAUAGCCCGGCGAAAGCCGGAUUACUCCCGCAUACGAUCUACGAAUGCAAGCGGGGGACCUUCCGCCCUCGCGCUGUAGGGUUGGUCGCUGUCUGGUUAGCUAGUUGGUGGGGUAAAGGCCCACCAAAGCGACGGUCAGUAGCUGGUCUGAGAGGACGACCAGCCACACUGGGACUGAGACACGGCCCAGACUCCUACGGGAGGCAGCAGUGGGGAAUUUUGGACAAUGGGCGCAAGCCUGAUCCAGCAAUGCCGCGUGCAGGAAGAAGGCCUUCGGGUUGUAAACUGCUGUUGUACGGAACGAAACGGCUCUGGUUAAUACCCGGGGCUAAUGACGGUACCGUAAGAAUAAGCACCGGCUAACUACGUG
This 486-nucleotide ribosomal RNA is filed under the name uncultured bacterium. Its description in RNAcentral is "partial 16S ribosomal RNA". It matches the Rfam family "Bacterial small subunit ribosomal RNA", at positions 30 to 507 of the family's 1533-position model. The record is from RNAcentral.